UACGGGGGGGGCAAGCGUUGUUCGGAAUUACUGGGCGUAAAGGGCGCGUAGGCGGCGACUCUAGUCAGAUGUGAAAGUCCUGGGCUUAACCUGGGGACUGCAUUUGAUACUGGGUUGCUUGAAUUCGGGAGAGGAUAGCGGAAUUCCCAGUGUAGAGGUGAAAUUCGUAGAUAUUGGGAAGAACACCGGUGGCGAAGGCGGCUAUCUGGACCGACAUUGACGCUGAGGCGCGAAAGCGUGGGUAGCAAACAGG
Molecule: ribosomal RNA, 253 nt
Filed under: uncultured bacterium
Lineage: Bacteria
Description: partial 16S ribosomal RNA
Rfam family: Bacterial small subunit ribosomal RNA
Source: RNAcentral